UUUGAUCGGAAUAAAUAUAAAUUCUUUUCUUAUUUCUAUUUUAUGAUUGACCAAUAUAAACAUCAACAACUAUCGGGACCGAUGUUACGAGCUUCUGGAAUACAAUGGGAUCUUCGUAAAGUAGAUCCUUAUGAGUCUUACAACCAAUUUGAUUGGAAAGUCCAAUGGCAAAAAGAAGGGGAUUCGUUAGCUCGCUAUUUAGUACGAAUUGGUGAAAUGAGGGAAUCUGGCGGACCUGCCGCGCAAGAUCUUUGGUCUUCCCCUGGAACCGAUGAAAAAAAGUGGAUCGCUUCUUAUGUACUCGCUCAGAAUGAUUCUUCUCUAUCUAUAGUUCAUGGCCUAUUAGAAGUAGAAGGUGCUCUGGUGCAAUCCUUACCGACUGAAAAAGAUUGCAGUCAGGUUGAUAAUAGUCGAGUGACAUUACUUCGUCGGUUGACAAAAUUGUUUGAAGCACGCACAGAACCGGAAGCGCCCCUUGUUUCAAAGAGAGGAGGACGGGUUAUUCACAUUUAA
Molecule: ribosomal RNA, 513 nt
Filed under: Triticum aestivum (bread wheat)
Lineage: Eukaryota; Viridiplantae; Streptophyta; Magnoliopsida; Poales; Poaceae
Description: partial small subunit ribosomal RNA
Source: RNAcentral